CGACUUUGAAAAUUGUUGAAAAUCAGUUAUAUGGACAUUUUUCUAUACACCUCCAGAUUUUGAGCUGUUUUUUGAUUUGUGAGACUACCAUCAUGUUUGUGUCCACAUGUGUUAUUGAACAUACAUUUACUAUGAAUACAGAGUGUAUGGAUAAAGCUAUGUGCUAUCAUUUUCAAAUUUUACUAUCCACGGCGGUUACAGAGUUUUUUAAAUAGAGGGGGUCUGUAUAACAUAAAUGACCGCCGUGAAUCGAUUAGUAUUAACUGUCACUGAGAAUUAAUAGUAAGAAGCAAAUACAGUUUAUUUACGGUACCACGAUUUCCC
Molecule: long non-coding RNA, 324 nt
Filed under: Mytilus galloprovincialis (Mediterranean mussel)
Lineage: Eukaryota; Metazoa; Mollusca; Bivalvia; Mytilida; Mytilidae
Source: RNAcentral